UCUAACAACUAUCUGUGUGUGUUUUAGAGAGAGAUACAUACCACCAAUAAGCAGGUUCACUUAACCUAACAUCCCAAACCCUAACAUUCUCCGACCUAAUAAACCCAACCAGUCGCGGCCUACACUCAUCUCCAUCACACGCGCCGGUCCGAUUCCAGCUCACCAUCACAUUCUUCCUCACAUCAAAUCUCACCACAAACUCCAACCCUUGGCCGUUAAUCUCACCACCACCAGUAAUCCCUACAUCCUCCGCAUCCUCCGCCACCACCACGUACCACCGGUUCUGUUCCACCGGAUAAUCCUCCAGCCUCGUCCCUCCGUACACCGUCGCAUUCUUCUGCACCUCCAAAACCACGCCGGACUUCAAAAAUACCGUCGCCGUUAAGUACUUCCCCGGCGGAAACACCACGCGGCCGCCUCCGGUGGCCGUGCACGCGUCGAUUGCGGACUGGAUCGGAACGGUGUCGUAGUGGAUUCCGUCGCCGGUGGCGCCGAAAUCGGUGACGGAGAUACGAACAGGUUCAGAUCGGGAUUGAAUUGAAGGAAGACGGGUGUAUGGUGAUGACGUGUGUGGUGACGUUUGAGUGUAGAGAAUGAAGAUGAAUGAUAACGUGAGGAAAGGAUGGAGGUAAAGAGGGAGCGCCAUUUUUGCCGGCGACGGUGUACGGCGGUGGUCAACGGUGGAUUGGGUUUAUAUAGUCACCAAAGGACCAUAAUUUUGAGUCGUAUUCCGUAUUGAUUGGGAUUGCGUUUAUCCCAUAGUGAAGUUUGAAAGGCAUUGAUUUUUUUAUUUUUUUUUUUAAAUUAAAUUUCAUUAAAAAUACACCUCCGACCCAGACGGGCAAAAGACCAAUACAAAACAUCACCCUCGACCUAAACGGGCAAAGGACAAAAUCUAUUAUCUAUAACUAGUAGGGUGCCCGCGCGAUGCGGCGAGAGUAACAUUUUGCAUUGCGGUACUUGUACUUUUCUUAUUCAUAUAAUAUUUAUGGUAGCAUCCACCGGUGAAUCUACGUCAUAAACAUAGCCAUUAGUUUGUCCAUUUCAUUGUGGUGUGUGUGGUUCAGUUAUUAUCUUCAACUGGAGCUGAAACCGAAGUCACCAGUUAGGAUAUUUUAUUAAUCAAUUGGUUUUCGGUUAGCCAGGUUGGCUUGUUCGGUUAGAUUUAUGGUUUUUUGUUAGGUUCGUUUAAUCGCUUAGAUUGACGGUUUUUGUUAGUGGAAAUUACCCGCAUGUUGGGCGAGGCAUUUCGGUUGGUUUUACAAUACCGUAAAUUCGAAGUACACAUGUAG
Molecule: long non-coding RNA, 1292 nt
Filed under: Helianthus annuus (common sunflower)
Lineage: Eukaryota; Viridiplantae; Streptophyta; Magnoliopsida; Asterales; Asteraceae
Description: hypothetical non coding rna
Source: RNAcentral